Molecule: ribosomal RNA, 406 nt
Filed under: uncultured bacterium
Lineage: Bacteria
Description: partial 16S ribosomal RNA
Rfam family: Bacterial small subunit ribosomal RNA
Source: RNAcentral
AUUGAACGCUGGCGGCAGGCCUAACACAUGCAAGUCGAACGAGUGGCGGACAGGUGAGUAAUGUCUGGGAAACUGCGCGAUGGAGGGGGAGAUCACCUGGAAAAGGUAGAUAAUACAGCAUACCAUCGGAUGUGCCCCGAUGGGAUUAGCUUGUGGGUGAGGUAACGGCUCACCUAGGCGACGAUCCCUAGCUGGUCUGAGAGGAUGACCAGCCACACUGGAACUGAGACACGGUCCAGACUCCUACGGGAGGCAGCAGUGGGGAAUAUUGCACAAUGGGCGCAAGCCUGAUGCAGCCAUGCCGCGUGUAUGAAGAAGGCCUUCGGGUUGUAAAGUACUUUCAGCGGGGAGGCGUUACCCGCAGAAGAAGCACCGGCUAACUCCGUGCCAGCAGCCGCGGUAAUUC